This is a long non-coding RNA of Bos taurus (domestic cattle), 553 nucleotides long. The record is from Ensembl. Lineage: Eukaryota; Metazoa; Chordata; Mammalia; Artiodactyla; Bovidae.
CCACCACACUCCUCUGUCCAUGGGAUUCUCCAGGCAAGAAUACUGGAGUGGGUUGCCAUUUCCUCCUCCAGGGGAUCUUCUGGACCCAGACAUCGAACCUGUGUUUCCUGCAUCUCCUGCAUUGCAGGCAGAUUCUUUACUGUUGAGCCACUGGGAAAGCCCUCAGAGAGGGAUACAGACCCCAUUUUCCUGGAAGCUCAGCUCCUACAUGAAAUAUUAAAAGGUAAAGGAGGGCUGAGAGGAGCUACUCCACGUUCAAGGUCAGGAGGGGCGGCCAUGAGGAGAUACCCCUAAUCCAAGGUGAAGGUCCUGACCAAAAGAAGACUGUACUUUGAAAAAAAUCACUCCAUUUCAGCAGGACAACUGGAUCAGCUCGAGAGGCAGGCUGGUAGUCUUGACAAACAAGAUCUAUGGGCAAUCAGAUGAGCACUGGGUCCCGCCAGAGCUUGCCAGAAAGUGAUAGAUGUUGGUGAGAAUUGUUAUCAUCUUGGUCUCCUCUUGUCCAAACUUCGAGUCCCAAAUCAAGCUCUCUGCUCAGCUACCAGUGGUGUAC